CCUACGGGAGGCAGCAGUGGGGAAUAUUGCACAAUGGGCGCAAGCCUGAUGCAGCGACGCCGCGUGAGGGAUGACGGCCUUCGGGUUGUAAACCUCUUUCAGUAGGGAAGAAGCGAAAGUGACGGUACCUGCAGAAGAAGCGCCGGCUAACUACGUGCCAGCAGCCGCGGUAAUACGUAGGGCGCAAGCGUUAUCCGGAAUUAUUGGGCGUAAAGAGCUCGUAGGCGGUUUGUCGCGUCUGCUGUGAAAGACCGGGGCUCAACUCCGGUUCUGCAGUGGGUACGGGCAGACUAGAGUGCAGUAGGGGAGACUGGAAUUCCUGGUGUAGCGGUGAAAUGCGCAGAUAUCAGGAGGAACACCGAUGGCGAAGGCAGGUCUCUGGGCUGUAACUGACGCUGAGGAGCGAAAGCAUGGGGAGCGAACAGGAUUAGAUACCCUGGUAGUCCAUGCCGUAAACGUUGGGCACUAGGUGUGGGGGACAUUCCACGUUUUCCGCGCCGUAGCUAACACAUUAAGUGCCCCGCCGUGGGGAGUACGGCCGCGAAGGCUAAACUUCAAAUGAAUUGAGG
RNAcentral lists this ribosomal RNA (569 nucleotides) under uncultured bacterium. RNAcentral's name for it is "bacterial SSU rRNA". It matches the Rfam family "Bacterial small subunit ribosomal RNA", at positions 338 to 915 of the family's 1533-position model. The record is from RNAcentral.